CUGCCCACAGCUCACCCCAUCUCCUCUGUCCCCAGGCACUCCGAGGGAGAGGAAGAGACCGGGAGAGAGGCUGGCUCUGACCCUCACACCACGUAACAGCUCUCUGGGGAUUUAUUGGUUUUCCUGCCUAUUGAUGAGACUGUGAAGUCUCAAGAGAAGUGUCUUGCUCUGGAGAAAGGAAAUUAAACCUGGAAUGACUGGAUUGGAAGGGAAAACUCCAUUUUUGCAUUACUUUCAAUAGCGUAUCAGUUCCCAGCUCUCCUGCUCUCUGCAGUCAGCACUGAGCACAUCCCAGCCUCAGCACCUGCUGAAACCCUCGGCAAAACAACCCACGACAGCAACAAACCCACAGCACCCAGCUGCCUUCCCACAGCUCAGGGAGGACCAGGCUCUGGGCUGAAGCUGGGGCAGGAAGGAAAUUUGCCUUUCUGAGGCUGAGCCCUGGGCCAUGGCCAGCAGCCCCAGCUGAGAGCACGGAGCAAUCGGGGGUCCUGCUCCCCGCCAUGGGGUUCUCACGUGCUCUGCAGCUUUCCCAUGGAUAUAAAUCCAUUAAUAAAAGAUCAGUUUGCAGGCACAGCUCGCUGUAGAUGACAGCAUUAGAGGCACAUCAGCGUCUCCUAAGCACCAGUCUUGUGCUGGGUUUAUUUGGUCCAUUGUGGCAGGGGAAGAGUUGCUUUCGGCAUUCAGAGAUGUCUUGUGUCUGGAAGAAGUAGUGGGGUGAGAUAUAUUUUUGGCUCUAUUUAGCCACAAAAAUUUGGGUUUAGAAUAAAGAGAAAUAUUCCUGUUUGCUGCCAAACUGAGGCAGACAAUUUCUUG
Molecule: long non-coding RNA, 816 nt
Organism: Prinia subflava (tawny-flanked prinia)
Lineage: Eukaryota; Metazoa; Chordata; Aves; Passeriformes; Cisticolidae
Exons: 3
Source: RefSeq, a predicted model, not a curated record